Felis catus (domestic cat) is the source of this 1581-nucleotide long non-coding RNA. RefSeq lists it as uncharacterized. The record is from RefSeq and is a predicted model, not a curated record. The transcript has 3 exons. NCBI's taxonomy places the organism in Eukaryota, Metazoa, Chordata, Mammalia, Carnivora, Felidae.
CACUUAUUUGUUUUUGCAAACCAAUAAAAUCUUUUUUUACCAAUAAAAUCUUAAUAAUUAUUAUGCUUCUCUUCAGUGACCACUCAUUCAGCUGAACAAUGCUGUACCUUCCUAGCAAGCAUUACCUUAAACAUCUAAGAUCAGUCUCUUUUCUCCCCCCUUUAAUUCAUCUUUCAUUUUUGUGCUCAUUCAUUCAUCUCCCAUCAUUCAUCUCUGGGAGUGACAGGUGCUAAGCAGCAUGACCCUUUUCCAUUUUCUGAUCCUUUCCCAUUCCUUUAAUUCUAAGUGAGAAUAAGUUCAUUCUUCCUAUAUGGUUUCUAGGUUUGGUAACACCUUGGUAUUUCACUACAGAAGUAGGGAGUUACCUGGAAACAAAACCAUUCAUUUUUGCAAAGAGCAAUCGCAAGACUUUCUCCUUUUGCUCCCAGGUCAAAUCUUCAAUAUCCACAUUUCCUUGAAUAUCCGUCCUGAAGAAUUUCAAAGGCAAAAUGGCCAAAAAAAGAAAAUAAAGGAACAUGUUCAAAGAUACUACAAUGACAUUCUAUGGAACAAAUGAUCUAGUCUCUUUAAUAAGUCUCUGUCUUGAAAAAAGGAAAUCUACUAAGAAUACCUACUAAGCCCCACACACAGUGCUAAGCACAGGGGUUAUAAAGACAGGAAGGCAGGAAGCCCAAUUGAAAAUUCCCAGUCUCCCUUGCAGUUCAGCAAAGCUAUGUAACUAAGUUCUGGUCAAUGAAAUGUAAGUAGAAGUGUUUGCAGGACUUCCAGGAAGACUUCUAAAGGGGAGGGGGGGCAUAAUUUUUCCUUCCUGUCCUUCUUCCUUCCUGCUUUCUGGGUAAUGGUUAGAGAUCUAGCAGCUGCUUUGGGCCAUGAAGUAACUUUGGGGAUGUAAGCCAUACGUUGCCCAGCAGAGUUAAGGAAACUGAGUCUCUGUUGACUUUGUGGCACUACCCUUCCAGCUCUGGAUUGCUAACCUCCAGACUUCAUUUAGAGGAGAGAAUAAACCCUUACAUGGUAAAGCCACUGUUGUCGGGGCUGUUACAGCUGAACUUAUUCCGAACCAGUAAUUCAGAGACCAACUCUAAGCAAAAUAAAAUGAGUAUUCUAAGGUAGUAGAGGAUAGGUUUACAUUUAUGUUUCUGAUAUAUCCUUUAUAAAGUCAAGUCAAAUACUUCUUUUUUUAUGUUUAUUUAUUUAUUUAUUUUUGAGAGAGAUAGAGAGAGAGCACAUGCUCAGGGAGGGGCAGAGAGAGAGAGAGAGGAAGGCAGAGAAUCCCAAGCAGGCUCCUGAUGUGGGGCUUGAACCCACAAACUGUGAGAUCAUGACCUGAGCAGAAAUCAGGAGUUGGACUCUUUAACUGACUGAGCCACUGAGGCAUCCCAAGUCAAAUACUUCUUAUGUCAUUCUCAUAACUAAUCCUUUCAAAUAAGAAAGGUACAUCAUCCAGACAAAAUAAAAAUGGUCCCAAAGUCCUCAUGUAUCAUUAUUACACUCAAUUCUUCAUAUUUACCAACCCAAUCCUUAAAUAAACAAACGAGCAGACAAACAAAAAACCCAGAAAGUCCAAAUGGAGUGGGAACC